Molecule: long non-coding RNA, 1449 nt
Organism: Calidris pugnax (ruff)
Lineage: Eukaryota; Metazoa; Chordata; Aves; Charadriiformes; Scolopacidae
Exons: 2
Source: RefSeq, a predicted model, not a curated record
AAUGAUGGUCUUUUUAUUGUGUUUUUCUUGUGUUUGGGUUUUUGUUCUGUUUUGUUUUGUUGAAUUUUUAUUAUUUUAUUUAUUCUUCUCGAAUGUGACAAUUCUCACGAACGGCCAACGGUGGGGAGGAAACUGUAACAAAAUUGCUACAGAUGCCUUAAACUAUGCACAAAAGCUAAGUGACCAAAUUUGUUUUUGAUUUGAAAAAAAAAAUAAAAUUAAUAAAUAAUAAUAUUAAAAAAAAAAAACCAACCAACAAACCACACAACAAAAGUGCAUUGUUUACGUAUUCCUCCCUCUGCUGAAACAUUUACCCACCAACGGGGUUUUCGAUGGGGAAAAGGAGAAAACGGGGGUGUUUUUUUUAAAGGACAAAAUUUGAAAGGACUAAUUUUCAACUUAAAAACAUUCCAUUUUUUGUAAUUUGUUUUACCUUGUUUUGAGUCCAGCAAGCACAACUGUAACCGGGUUUUGAGAAACUGGUGCUUUCUUUUCAGUUCCUUUGUAUUUCCCUGUUUUAUUAUUGUAAAAGACUGUUUUCUGAAUUCUGUUUACAGUUUUGUCGCAACAGCCAUUUUUGGGAGAGAGCUUCAGCGUAAAGCCAUUUGUAAAGGCUUUGCCAUAGUCAUUUUAAUAUGUGCCUGUUGCUGUUAACUUUUAAUUAAGAAUAAGAAUAAUAAAAAAAAAAAACAACAAACAAAACCAAACCAAAAUCUUUUUCACAUUUUGCUCCAAGUCCAGCGUCACAGGAAGAUAAAGCUCGUUGGCUUCCACUCUCCGACUCAGCCCCCGCUUUGGGAUUUGAAAAUAUUACAUUUCUUGCCAAAAUUUAGAGUUUUUUCUUUUUUUUUGGCCUUAUCCCGACUUACCUGGUUGUUUCCCACCCCCCCUCCUUUGCUAAAAAUUAAGUUGUUGAUUCUUUUCCUGUUCCCUGGAGGGGGAUGGUUCAUCUCCCAGCGGCCCACGUUUAAAGAAAUAAAUUUGUACUGAAAGCGUUUCCUUUGACCCUGCGUGACCUUCCUUCCUUUGCUGCCGUCCCCCUUCAGCAGCAAAGGGGACCAGGAGCUUCGGUUUUAACAGAAAAGCCUUGUUUUAACAGGAAAAUAACCCUGAAAGUCAGAGCUGCCGGGACAGGGAGGUUCCGGCUGCGUGUGGGUAACGGGGGGUUUGAAACUUUGGGGAAAGUAUUGAUUCCUCCUUGAGGUUUUGGAGUAAAAAAAAGCAUAUUCCAACUGCAGUUAUUUCCGAACCCAAAUGGGUAUCAAAUGCCACUAAAAUGGGUACCUGAUGGUGUCUUCUGGGACUCACAUUUUUUUUUUAACAAAGAUGUGACUUUUGGUUAAAGCCGGGGCCUCAACAGCGCUUACGGACGUUUUGCUACUUGUUCCAGGCUAUUUAUAAGCGUAUUUUAAUAUGUCGUUUUAAUGAACAUUAAAAGUAAUGACUUUA